CCGGAGCUCAGGGACAGGAACCUAAGUGUGGAGGAUUCACAUACCCGGUACAUGAUAAGUGCAACUCAGCCCCUUCCGCCUCAGACACAAGCAAAUAUGUUAGAGAGAGAGAGAGAGAGAGAGAGAGAGAGAGAGAGAGAGAGAGAGAGAGAGAGAGAGAGAGAGAGAGAGAGAGAGAGAGAGAGAGAGAGAGAGAGAGAGAGGGAGAGGGAGAGAGAGAGAGAGAGAGAGAGAGAGAGAGGGAGAGAGGGAGAGAGAGAGAGAGAGAGAGAGAGAGAGAGAGAGAGACUGGCCCCUCCUUACUGCUGUAAAAGUAGAGAGGGGGAAAAAAAACUCGGGAAAGAGAGGGAGGGAGAAAAAGAAAAAAAAGAAGCAAAGGAAUUGCAGCCAUACGGGCUGUGCUUCUUGGCUGAACUGUAUCUUCCUCCUCCGCCGCCACCACCAACACCACCACCACCACCACCACCACCACCCCCACCACCAUCGGCACCUCCUCCUCCUCCAAAAAAAAACCCCCUCAUCUGCCAGCCAUUAGCUAAUCAGCGGCGCAGGAGCACGGGGGAAAACCGGGGGGACGGGAGCGACCGAGCGGACCAAGGAGACUCUACCACCGAGGGAGAGCCUGGAGAGACGAAGGACCCAGGACUCAGGCCUCGGUGGUCGGACGCCCACACACCCCUCACUCAGCCACAGCCCGCCCAGGACUGGCUGAAGCUGAAACCAAGAUGGCCGCCCCUCUGAGUGCUGACCAGCAGGUAAGAGGACAAGGCAACAGCAACGCAUGGAAACAUGUCCGCAUGGAAAUGUGUCCGCAUGGAAACGUGUCCGCAUGGAAACGUGUCCGCAUGGAAACAUGUCCGCAUGGAAACAUGUCCGCAUGGAAACAUGUCCGCAUGGAAACGGUUGUAAGAAAAGGUUUGGUGACGUCGGCCAUUCAGAAAAAUACAAUUUUUCUCAAUUACUGCUAGUUACUUCGGUAUGGAUUGCACUGAGCACUAUGGGUCAUAAUGUAUCAAUGUUGGUUAUAGGAAGAACGAUGCAUGAUGUUCACACUUCUAUAAGCUGUAUAAGAUCCUUAACACAUUACUCAAGCCUGUUUACUUGUGCUAACCUACACCAAGUGUCUUGGAAAAUGUCAUUAACUUUGCUGUGUCAGACAAUGAAAGUGAUCCUGUAGAUAAAACAGAUAGCUAUAGAUACAAGGCAAUGCAAAACGGUAGGGAAAGAGCAGAAUCAGGAUUGCACAAGAUCAUAAAUUAAAUGUAAUAAGAAAUAAAAUACCCAAUGAAAGUAUCAAAACAAAGACUAGAAAGAAGGCACAUUCUCCCCAGAAGCGCAAGAACUCAAAAGGGGAAUAUCGUGUCGUAUUUGUAUAUUGACUGAACCUAAGCGAUCCCAUAUAACAACGUAAGAGCGCCAAGCUUAAAUUCCAAUCACAUUGCAGCGGCCUGACGUACGCAAAAUAAACCCUAAUACCCAGCACAUGGUCACUGUACUUUUCACUGACUCUGGAAAAGAGAUCGGCUUCGACCUGGAGCAAGAACAAACUUGUAAGAGCUGUCUGAAGAUCUGAAGUCUGGAAAUGUAACACCCUGAGCAGCCAACGCCAGCGUUACGUGUCUAUCAGAUUACGCAGCUAUCUGCUCCAUGCAUGUACUGUACAGAAAGACACCAUGAUGCAAGUUCUAUGUCUUGGUCUCAUGGUUUCUAAUCAGAACUAUGUAGAGAUAAUGAGGCAUUAGGACUCAACUUUACGAUUAUCAAUGACAAUUUGUUCUUCUGGUGACACUAAAACCAAAGGAUAAUAGAAAAAACAUAGUCGCAGAAAAGAUGAUCACAAACCCAUACACACACAAAUCCAAGAGAAAGAAAGAAAGAAAAAAUGAUAGAAAGCGAGAGAGAGGUAGAGCAAGAGAGAGAGGGAGAGAAAGGAAGAGAAAGAGAGAGAGAGGGCAAAAGCUGGACAAAGAGAGCGAGAGAGAAAAAAACUAAGGGAAGAUAAAUAGAGAGAGAGAGAGAGAGAGAGACAGAGGUCAAUUGUGACCACUCUGGGUCAAGUCUGUACUCUGUUUACCAAGUAUUGUACACAGAGGGCAGGCAUACAGAGUGAAUACCGAGCACACAAGGCACAGACUUUUUCCCAUCCAGGUUCCGUUCUGCAAGUCAAAACAACACAUGUUGUCACCAGGGGACAGCUGGCGAGAGCGUCGUCCGAAGGGGUAAGGGAAUGUUGUCGGAACACAUAGAUCUUCCCAACCAGCACUGCUUUUAAGGUCAACCACAGAUAAGUCUCUCAAGACAGACUUGCUUUUAAAGAAAAGCUCCAGACUUCACGUCUGUACUUUAAGCAAGCCACGUUUUUUUGUAAUGGAUCCAGAAGACUAGAAGCGGAUCCAAAGGUAUUUCUCGACCAAUCACGACUUGUUGAGCGAUGCAUUACAAUCAACUGCCUCGGUUUGUUUCUGGGGAGGAUGCAUGUUCAUGAACACCGUGACGUGAUUAGUCAAAAUACGUUGGAUUCGGUUCUGGAUCUGGUUACAAAAAACAUGGCUACCUUAAAUGUAGCCACUAAUGUGGCUAGGCUGAAGCAUGAAAAACGAAAAGGGUCUGUCUUGAGAGAAUACCCCAUGAUAGUUUAAUAAGCCUAUCCAGAAUCAAUGUGAUCCAACACGGUACUUUAAUCCAACGAUUGAAGUCCUAGCCAAUUAAAUGAGUUAGUGUGUAAUUCAACUCAUAUGUCUUUUAUACUCGUCUUUGAACAAUGUUUCGAUUAAACGGUGGCUCACAAGGGACCUGUUGACCUCACCGUUGCAUUAAUUCAAAAACUGACGGAACUGAUUGAAUAGGAGGAUCAUGUGGAAAGCAUUCUGCGCUGGUAUCAACACGGCUAUAGAUCGGACGGCAGCGACGGAAGCUGGACUAAGAGGCUUUUCGUCAGGAUCUCAUUCAACGUGGUGUGCCAGUUAAGCUAAACCAUGCUCAUUCCUUACCCAUGAACUCAAAUAAACACCCCGCUGAGCACGGCCCUCUAGAGUUACUCCAACACCAUUUCCUUUUAAGUCAACACCACUCAGAAAAGACAAACUGUGCAACCAUAAGUCAACAUGAAAUGACAAAACGGCUCAGUAUUUCCGUCUGUCUAAACACAGUGCCUGGAAACUCUUUUCCUUUUUUUUUUUCUUCCAUCGUCGCGCUGUAGCUUGAAGCAUUCCGUGCCGCUUGCUACAGCGGGCGCGGUGAAGUCAGGUAGCAAUGACAAGGCCUUAAUGAUAAAUGCCUGCCUUGAUGGAACAGCUCGGACCGGACAGGGUGGGAGGGCAGGGGGGGGGGGGGGGGCAGGGGUUGAAUUUGAUGCGGCGAGACAUUAUAAAGGGGUGACCUUUGACACGGAGCAUUCAAGGCCAACUCUCUCUUUCUGUUAAAUGGCAGAAAGCUGCCUUUUUUUCUUCUUCAAAAUGGUACGGUUACUAUGGUAAUUUAGGGUGGUUUGCACUUAUGGUGAUUUGGAACCAUUCCACACUCCUGUGCUUAAUGUUCUUGAGGUGAUUUGGAAAAGUGCCAAGCACUUGUACGUAGAUGUGCACGUCACUUCAUCAGUAGUAUGCUAGGUCCUGCCAGCUAGCCUUUCAGUGUAUGCCAGUAUCCACGUCACUCUGGAAAGGCCGGUGUUCCAAAGGGUUCCCAAAUGGCGGUUGCUAGCGGAAGAAGUAGCAGAAGUAAUUGAGGAACUAGCCACAAAUGUUCUAUACGUAUUAUACUCUUCUAACAGAUGUAUGCCUGGAGAAAAGGUUAUUCGCGGGAUAGUGCAGAAAGAGCUUUUAGGAAUGUUGAAUAUUUAACAUUGGUUUAUAUUCCAGCUUUUCUCAUCUGCUAUACCUGUUGAGAAAGGACAAUAAUUGGUCCAGGUGUUGAGUGACUACAGGGCUCAAUUGAACUUGGCUCCAUCAGUCCCUUUAGAAAAAUCCCAAACCAGAGAAUAUUCUAGUUAAUGAAGUCCACAGUUGUGUUAAGGUUGGAGCAAUGGGAGUGUGCGACACAUGUUCUCCAUUACGAUGUACCUCGGAGCCAAACACACGGCCCAGUGUUUUAUAGGGUCGGUACACAGCCUUUUCAUGUCACAGCAACAACAAACUUUAACAGCCAUCUUGCGAAUCUUUCAAAACAUGCUCAUCUAGUCCACAUAUUGGGGAAAGGCAAGAAGAAGCUUGUGCAUGGAUAUAGGUGACCUAGUUUAAGUUGGCUAUUCAUUUUACCUUGUUUGCUCAUGUAGAAAUUAAAUACCUCCUUGUUUAAAUUUCCUUAUACAUAUCAAUGGUUUAUCAGUACAUAAUGCUCAUCUUUUCUGUAUCAUCUUAAGGAUGGAGGCCAUAGUGUCCAGGCUUAUGAAACUAUACAUCCCUUAUUCACCAAUAUCACUGAUGGCAAAUGGUAAACAUGUCCUGAAACGUCUACUGCAGUAGUAACAUUACUUGAAAACAAUGGGUUGAGUGCUGAAUUAUACAUGCCUUUGAUACUUUUUAAUAGGUCUAUGUUGGGAAGACUUGUAAUCCUAGUCGAUUAUUAAUAAUUAAUAAUAUAAGAGUCUGUUUCCUUCCAAAAUCUCUACAUGAAUGUUGUUUGUGGUCAACUGAUGUUUCCUGUGGCUGAGGAGUACUUGUCAACCCCCAAACAAUACCAUAAUGUCUAAAUUAAAGUCAAAUGUUCCAAGCCACAACAUGGCACACAAUAUUUCAGACUCCCACUGUGGCCUCAGAUGGCAAAGAGGGGCAGAUGACUGAUUACCAUGUUUAUAUACAUAUGUAUAUGCAUAGAAUGAGUCCAUGACUCGUAGCAUAAUACAUAUUAUAAUUUACGACCUAAAAUUAAAUAACCAAAAACUGAAAUAUAAAUUUUUCUCUGAACUCUGUUGACCACCGCUACAGAGUGUACUAGCAAGUGCAAAAUCUUGAUAAUUUUAUCAAGAUAGAAAUCUUGAUAGUGUUUUUUCAGAUAAUCUUUGGUUUCUUAUCUGCCAUGAAUCCUCCGUUCUCUGGUUCUAGAACAUUCCACAACCUGGAACUACUCAAUCUUGACAAACUAAUCAUCAAUUGCAUCAUUUGUCUUCCAAAGUUCUGUUGAAGUACAAACAGACCCCUCUAUCCCCCGGUUAUCUAGUGUAAGGUUGUCAGCCAACUCGAGUUUCAACGCGAGCCGACGAAAAAUAGUCAACUCUCGGUGUUGAGAGGAACUUCCAGAUUGAACAUGUGCAAGUGCCCCCUUUCCAGACCAAACUAGCAAUGUGGGCUGCAUCAGGAAACACAAGCCCAAUGAUGUCACGAUCAUAUGACCUCUGGGUGACAGGUUCGGAGAAUAUCCCUACCCAGAAUCCCCUUGGGGGCAGCAGUUGGUAGGUUGGUGGGCUGGGGGGACCAGAAAGUAUGUGUAGUGUUUUGCAUGUGGAUUUCAUUUUAAGCAACACAUUUUUAGUUCAGCGAGUGAUUUUGACGAGGAUCUCGGUCAACCAGAGACUCUGAAUGCCUUGGCAGGAAAUGGUUUGUUUUCGUUACCAACUAUACGGGUCAAUUACUGAAAUGGUGCCGCGGUCGGCCAUUGUUCAGGCCUUCUGCCUACGUGACUGAAUGGGUUCAUCUUUAAAAGGUGAUCAUCAUUACUGGGUGGUGUUUACCUUUCUGCUGAAUCACAAGAGACUGUGCUGCUUUAUAACUGAAGGUUGGAAAAUAAACUCUAAUUUUGUGUCGUU
Long non-coding RNA from Gadus macrocephalus (Pacific cod), 5740 nucleotides. RefSeq lists it as uncharacterized. Lineage: Eukaryota; Metazoa; Chordata; Actinopteri; Gadiformes; Gadidae. The record is from RefSeq and is a predicted model, not a curated record. The transcript is spliced from 2 exons.